CGCAAAAAUUGACGUCGUCUUGUAGUUGUAGAUGAGAUCCAAUCUUUAUUCUUAAAACCAGAGGCGUUCUUCACUUUUCAGGGGGAUUGAUUGAUGAUACUUGUUGAUUAAUCCAUGAAGAAUACCAAUACAUGGAUAAGUGGAGGGUAAUACAAGUAUAAAACUGUAAUUCCUCAUGGCAUUUUCAUUCACGCAUACGUGGCAGUUCGUGAGCAGACGAACCAUUGAAACGGCCUUGCGCAGUCUAGCUGCUUCCAUCCAGAUACUAGUAGAACCCAAAACAUUGUUUUGACAAAUACUGUCAUAUUUUGGUUUUAUGUUUUCACUAAAUACCAAUACAGGCUGACCCUACGAGCAACGACAAUUUUAGCUACAAAUGUUUAGCGCCUCGUCUUGCAGCUAGUAGUGGAUAUUCUAGGUUUUUAAAUUUAAUAUUUGAAUCAUCUUUCUGUCUGAGGAGGAAAAACUAGAUGGCGUUGAGUGCACUUUGAUAAAGAUUACGAAUGUCAAGUAAAAUGCGUGUUAAUAUCGUAAUAUAAUAGUAUUGUAAUCAAUCAAUGCUGGCUGUUCUACACUUGUUGAAUAAUGUGAUUAGGUACAACACCACUCCAAUCCAUAGUGGCAAUUUUCAUUUCCGUGCAAGUGCCCUUCUAACUUUUGACAUAGCAAGGUGAAGAGAAAACUGGGAUUUGCAUGGAUUAAUCCUUGGAAGAAUUCCUCAUCUCAGUGAAGUUCACAAAAUACAAAUUAGUGUACAAUUGGCAUUGUCACAAACGAUGGGUUCUCAGUGACUACGACUUGAGUGUCCUUCGUGUCUGUUACCCUCAGAUUCUGCCUCCUGAAAUUUGCAACAUUUUAUGGGAUAAAAUUCUUCGUGCCUGUUACCAUACACUACUUGACGGAUUUUCCGCUGUAAGAAAAUGCACGAACGAAGGUCGUGCACUAAUGCAGUUAGACUUCAGGCAUUUUCAAGUCAAAGUGGAAAGCUUGACACGUCUAAGACCUCUUCCUGACCCACAUAUUGUCGAAACAUACAUAAAGGCAUAUUAUUUACCUGAAAAUUCUUUGGAAAAAUGGAUUCAAGAACAAACGGAAUAUACUCCUAGGCAGAUGAUGAAUCUUCUUCAAUGCGUAAGUCAAGGCAGUAAAAAGAUUCGGCUGAACUUAACUUACUUCAUGGAAGAUUUAGAUUUGAAUCGUCGAUAAAGCUCUUUGUUAUGAUUCAAGUGAUGAAAUUUUUGUUAAUUGAGAAAUAUACAUGACAUUCCAUUA
Molecule: unclassified non-coding RNA, 1272 nt
Filed under: Daphnia magna
Lineage: Eukaryota; Metazoa; Arthropoda; Branchiopoda; Diplostraca; Daphniidae
Description: uncharacterized LOC123466521, transcript variant X18
Source: RNAcentral